CUUGUCCUCUAGAAUCCUGUCUUGUUUUCCACAUGUCUUAUGCUUUUCUUCUCUGCUCUGGUCUGUCUUAACCUAGCAGCUAGUGGCCUGCCAAUCACAGGACAUCAGGCCCCAGGAUGCACAGUGCCCAGCAUCUCCUCCAGGUUCAGCUUUGACAUCUUCCUGCAGCGCGUUUACUCCAAUCCCAGGACUUUCAGACCCUUCGAACUGGAUCAUCAUAGUUACCAAGGACAUAGUAAAUCUGAUGUUGAGGUGGACCCUGAAUGUCACAGGAGAGCAGAAGCAUCAGAAGCCGAGAAAAUGAAUCUCGUUUCAAGGCCUUGGAGAAGGCAAUGGAUUUUAUUACCCUGAAGAAGAGAUUUCACCAUUGUGUGAUCCCAUAAGGGCCAUCUGCUUCUCCCAAACACAGUUGGUCUGGAAGAG
Molecule: long non-coding RNA, 423 nt
Filed under: Cricetulus griseus (Chinese hamster)
Lineage: Eukaryota; Metazoa; Chordata; Mammalia; Rodentia; Cricetidae
Description: lncRNA (ENSCGRG00000024674.1)
Source: RNAcentral